RNAcentral lists this ribosomal RNA (425 nucleotides) under uncultured bacterium. Its description in RNAcentral is "partial 16S ribosomal RNA". It matches the Rfam family "Bacterial small subunit ribosomal RNA", at positions 354 to 796 of the family's 1533-position model. The record is from RNAcentral.
GUGGGGAAUCUUCCGCAAUGGGCGAAAGCCUGACGCAGCCAUGCCGCGUGAAUGAUGAAGGUCUUAGGAUUGUAAAAUUCUUUCACCGGGGACGAUAAUGACGGUACCCGGAGAAGAAGCUCCGGCUAACUGCGUGCCGGCAGCCGCGGUAAUACGAAGGGGGCUAGCGUUGCUCGGAAUUACUGGGCGUAAAGGGCGCGUAGGCGGACAGCUUAGUCAGAGGUGAAAGCCCAGGGCUCAACCUUGGAAUUGCCUUUGAUACUGGCUGUCUGGAGGUUGGAAGAGGUGGGUGGAACCCCGAGUGUAGAGGUAAAAUUCGUAGAUAUUCGGAAGAACACCAGUGGCGAAGGCGACUCACUGGCCCAAUACUGACGCUGAGGCGCGAAAGCGUGGGGAGCAAACAGGAUUAGAAACCCGGGUAGUCC